AGUGAACGCUGGCGGUAGGCCUAACACAUGCAAGUCGAACGGCAGCACAGUAAGAGCUUGCUCUUACGGGUGGCGAGUGGCGGACGGGUGAGGAAUACAUCGGAAUCUACUUUUUCGUGGGGGAUAACGUAGGGAAACUUACGCUAAUACCGCAUACGACCUACGGGUGAAAGCAGGGGAUCUUCGGACCUUGCGCGAUUGAAUGAGCCGAUGUCGGAUUAGCUAGUUGGCGGGUUAAAGGCCCACCAAGGCGCCGAUCCGUAGCUGGUCUGAGAGGAUGAUCAGCCACACUGGAACUGAGACACGGUCCAGACACCUACGGGAGGCAGCAGUGGGGAAUAUUGGACAAUGGGCGCAAGCCUGAUCCAGCCAUACCGCGUGGGUGCAGAAGGCCUUCGGGUUGUAAAGCCCUUUUGUUGGGAAAGAAAAGCAGCAGGUUAAUACCCCGCUGUUCUGACGGUACCCAAAGAAUAAGCACCGGCUAACUUCGUG
Molecule: ribosomal RNA, 492 nt
Filed under: uncultured bacterium
Lineage: Bacteria
Description: partial 16S ribosomal RNA
Rfam family: Bacterial small subunit ribosomal RNA
Source: RNAcentral